This 853-nucleotide ribosomal RNA is filed under the name Cystobasidium minutum. RNAcentral describes it as "partial large subunit ribosomal RNA". It matches the Rfam family "Eukaryotic large subunit ribosomal RNA", at positions 89 to 937 of the family's 3401-position model. Lineage: Eukaryota; Fungi; Basidiomycota; Cystobasidiomycetes; Cystobasidiales; Cystobasidiaceae. The record is from RNAcentral.
GCGAGUGAAGUGGGAAAAGCUCAACUUUGAAAUCUGGCACCUUCGGUGUCCGAAUUGUAGUCUCAAGAAGUGUUUUCUGUGCUAGUCCAUGUAUGAGUCUGUUGGAACACAGCGUCAUAGAGGGUGACAACCCCGUUCAUGACAUGGAUACUAGUACUCUGUGAUACACUCUCGAAGAGUCGAGUUGUUUGGGAAUGCAGCUCAAAUUGGGUGGUAAAUUCCAUCUAAAGCUAAAUAUUGGCGAGAGACCGAUAGCAAACAAGUACCGUGAGGGAAAGAUGAAAAGCACUUUGGAAAGAGAGUUAACAGUACGUGAAAUUGUUGAAAGGGAAACGAUUGAAGUCAGACGUGCGUGAUGCGGUUCAGCUCUGGUUCGCCAGGGUGUAUUCCGUAUCUUUGCAGGCCAACAUCGGUUUUGUUAGUCGGAUAAAGAUUAGUUGAAUGUGGCAUCUUCGGGUGUGUUAUAGCUUCUAAUUGAAUACGAUUGAUGAGACCGAGGAACGCAGCGCGCCGCAGGCAAAGGUUCCGACCUUUUCGCGCUUAGGAUGUUGGUGAAAUGGCUUUAAACGACCCGUCUUGAAACACGGACCAAGGAGUCUAACAUGCUUGCGAGUGUUUGGGUGGCAAACCCAUACGCGUAAUGAAAGUGAAUGGAGGUGGGAUCCUUUACCGGAGCACCAUCGACCGAUCCGGAUUUUUAAUGAAGGGUUUGAGUAAGAGCACGUAUGUUGGGACCCGAAAGAUGGUGAACUAUGCCUGAAUAGGGUGAAGCCAGAGGAACUCUGGUGGAGGCUCGUAGCGGUUCUGACGUGCAAUCGAUCGUCAAUUUGGGUAUAGGGGCGAAGACUAAUCG